Molecule: non-coding RNA, 29 nt
Filed under: Mus musculus (house mouse)
Lineage: Eukaryota; Metazoa; Chordata; Mammalia; Rodentia; Muridae
Source: RNAcentral
UGCUGGGCAAGAACAGAAAAUGUUUUAUU